This 215-nucleotide ribosomal RNA is filed under the name Astrosyne radiata. RNAcentral's name for it is "partial Bacterial large subunit ribosomal RNA". It matches the Rfam family "Bacterial large subunit ribosomal RNA", at positions 816 to 1029 of the family's 2925-position model. The record is from RNAcentral. Lineage: Eukaryota; Bacillariophyta; Fragilariophyceae; Cyclophorales; Cyclophoraceae.
UAGGGGUGAAAGGCCAAUCAAACUCCGUGAUAGCUGGUUCUCCCCGAAAUGCAUUUAGGUGCAGCGUCGCGUGUUUCUUGCCGGAGGUAGAGCACUGGAUAGUCUAGGGGGCCUACCAGCUUACCGAAAUUAGCCAAACUCCGAAUGCCGGCAAGUGAGAGCGCGGCAGUGAGACAGUGGGGGAUAAGCUUCAUUGUCGAGAGGGAAACAGCCCA